GAGCGCAGGCGGUUUCUUAAGUCUGAUGUGAAAGCCCCCGGCUCAACCGGGGAGGGUCAUUGGAAACUGGGAGACUUGAGUGCAGAAGAGGAGAGUGGAAUUCCAUGUGUAGCGGUGAAAUGCGUAGAUAUAUGGAGGAACACCAGUGGCGAAGGCGGCUCUCUGGUCUGUAACUGACGCUGAGGCUCGAAAGCGUGGGGAGCAAACAGGAUUAGAAACCCGAGUAGUCCCCGCCGUUCACGAUGAGUGC
This 250-nucleotide ribosomal RNA is filed under the name Enterococcus faecalis. Its description in RNAcentral is "partial 16S ribosomal RNA". It matches the Rfam family "Bacterial small subunit ribosomal RNA", at positions 567 to 816 of the family's 1533-position model. Lineage: Bacteria; Bacillati; Bacillota; Bacilli; Lactobacillales; Enterococcaceae. The record is from RNAcentral.